GGAUGGCCUGUAUACUGCAAAUGCACACGUAUCUAGACAAGAGAUUAGAGAGAAGGAGAGAGAACUAUCAGUACACAUAAAUUACCUCCAUCCCAAAUAAAACUAAAAGCAAACAGCAAAUAAUAUCCUUUUUGAGUUAUGUUAGUUGCAGAACGGAUGCAAAUGAGCUAACUGAUGUUUUAUUCAUCCCGGUGAAAAUAGGUAACUCAAAUGAACUUCAUCCAAGCCAAUAAAAUAAAAAUGUUAAAAUAAGUUACUGCAGCAAUAAAAGGGAGGGGAAAUUUAUAAUUAUUGAAAAUGAAAUUCAGUCAUUCUUAAAAAGAUUAAAAAAGAAAAAAGACCACAUCAAAAAGGUUAUGAGAUUAAAACAUAUUUAUGCAGAAUGCCAACUUUUCCAGGAGCGUUUAAAAAAAGGGUCCAACGUGCUAUUGUCAGCUGUUGCUCAGCUUGUUACCCAAAGAAGGAAAGGGUCUUAGUGUUAAUGACUUGAUGUCCUAGAAUCAAGCCAAUGUCAUGAUGUGCAUGUGGUCUAUUUUUACACAGCCUGGCAGUCUCAAGAUGGUUUAUAUUCAAGAUAAUCAUAGGAGCCUUUGGGAUGUCUCUAAGCAAGGCAGCCGUUUUAGAGAUGAAGAAAAACACUGCAGUUAUUAUAAAUCAUUGCGUUCAUUGUACUGUUGGCAAUGCAAAUCUACUUUUCUAUGGUUCCAGUUGGCAUUCUUAUGGUCUAUUAUUGGAUAGUUAAGCACAGCAGCAUUGCACAUGAUCAUUUAUGAUAGUCACCUUUUUCUUUUUUUUUUUGAUACGGUCAGCCUUAGCAGCCUAGAUUCCUAAUUGUGAUCAGGACAGUGAUGACCUCCAACAAGAUCAUGAGAUCUCAUGGACAUACAGGUGACUAUUUGAGGAAGAAUAUCUUAACCAAGGGAAAAGUGAUAAUAUAUAUGGUCUCUCAAAGCUAGUGCUGUUUUUUAUGCUGAAUUCGUUUGGGAAUUGGGUCCUUGAGAACUAAAUCUCAGAGAGUGGACUGACACAACUUGGUUCCAUUCGCACCAUCAAUCCCCAAAACCUCUUUUAUUUCUGGUUCUCGGCCUACAAUUCUUAAUGAAAUGGAAAAGCAUCACUAGUCUAAACUGCCUUUACUGCGAUUACAUUCUUGAGGCAAGGAAUUGGAUGUUCUUCUCAUGCUCAUUCACAUAGAAAGAAGGGGAAAUGAUAAUGCAAAAAUUCUGUAAGGUAAGACAGGCUAAAGAGUGCAUUGCUAUUGAUAAAAAUAUAGAUUAUCUAAUAUUGCACCUGUGGUAUGUAUAUUCUCUUACUUGAUGAGUUCGGCCAGUGAUAGG
Molecule: unclassified non-coding RNA, 1337 nt
Filed under: Hevea brasiliensis (rubber tree)
Lineage: Eukaryota; Viridiplantae; Streptophyta; Magnoliopsida; Malpighiales; Euphorbiaceae
Source: RNAcentral